Molecule: ribosomal RNA, 251 nt
Filed under: uncultured prokaryote
Description: partial 16S rRNA
Rfam family: Bacterial small subunit ribosomal RNA
Source: RNAcentral
ACGGAGGGUGCAAGCGUUACCCGGAUUUACUGGGUGUAAAGGGCGUGUAGGCGGCUUUUCAAGUCCGAUGCUAAAGACUGAGGCUCAACCUCAGGAGUGCGUUGGAUACUGUGAGGCUAGACGGUCGGAGAGGGUAGCGGAAUUCUCGGAGUAGCGGUGAAAUGCGCAGAUACCGAGAGGAACGCCAAUAGCGAAAGCAGCUACCUGGACGAUUAGUGACGCUGAGGCGCGAAAGCGUGGGGAGCAAACCG